AUUGAACGCUGGCGGCAUGCUUUACACAUGCAAGUCGAACGGCAACGAGGAGAAGCUUGCUUCUCUGUCGGCGAGUGGCGAACGGGUGAGUAUAGCAUCGGAACUUGCCAAGUAGUGGGGGAUAACCAAACGAAAGUUUGGCUAAUACCGCGUAAGCUCCAAGGCGGAAAGUAGGGGACCUAAAUAAGGCCUUACGCUAUUUUAUCGGCCGAUGUCGGAUUAGCUAGUUGGUGGGGUAAUGGCUCACCAAGGCAAUGAUCCGUAGCGGGUCUGAGAGGACGAUCCGCCACACUGGGACUGAGACACGGCCCAGACUCCUACGGGAGGCAGCAAUGGGGAAUUUUGGACAAUGGGGGAAACCCUGAUCCAGCCAUGCCGCGUGUAUGAAGAAGGCCUUAGGGUUGUAAAGUACUUUUGUUAGGGAAGAAAAGCUAGUUUUUAAUAAAAAUUAGUGAUGACGGUACCUAAAGAAUAAGCACCGGCUAACUACGUG
Molecule: ribosomal RNA, 493 nt
Filed under: uncultured bacterium
Lineage: Bacteria
Description: partial 16S ribosomal RNA
Rfam family: Bacterial small subunit ribosomal RNA
Source: RNAcentral